UUGACGAGUCGUCUUUUAGAUGACGAAGUGGUUGAUGCCAUGCUUCCAAGAAAAGCUUCUAAGCUUCAGGUAACCAGGAACCGUACCCCAAACCGACACAGGUGGUCGGGUAGAGGAUACCAAGGCGCUUGAGAGAACUCGGGUGAAGGAACUAGGCAAAAUGGCACCGUAACUUCGGGAGAAGGUGCGCCGGCUAGGGUGAAGGAUUUACUCCGUAAGCUCUGGCUGGUCGAAGAUACCAGGCCGCUGCGACUGUUUAUUAAAAACACAGCACUCUGCAAACACGAAAGUGGACGUAUAGGGUGUGACGCCUGCCCGGUGCCGGAAGGUUAAUUGAUGGGGUUAGCGCAAGCGAAGCUCUUGAUCGAAGCCCCGGUAAACGGCGGCCGUAACAAUAACGGUCCUAAGGUAGCGAAAUUCCUUGUCGGGUAAGUUCCGACCUGCACGAAUGGCGUAACGAUGGCGGCGCUGUCUCCACCCGAGACUCAGUGAAAUUGAAAUCGCUGUGAAGAUGCAGUGUAUCCGCGGCUAGACGGGAAGACCCCGUGAACCUUUACUGUAGCUUUGCACUGGACUUUGAGCCUGCUUGUGUAGGAUAGGUGGGAGGCUUUGAAGCGUGGACGCCAGUUCGCGUGGAGCCAUCCUUGAAAUACCACCCUGGCAUGCUUGAGGUUCUAACUCUGGUCCGUAAUCCGGAUCGAGGACAGUGUAUGGUGGGCAGUUUGACUGGGGCGGUCUCCUCCUAAAGAGUAACGGAGGAGUACGAAGGUGCGCUCAGACCGGUCGGAAAUCGGUCGCAGAGUAUAAAGGCAAUAGCGCGCUUGACUGCGAGACAGACACGUCGAGCAGGUACGAAAGUAGGUCUUAGUGAUCCGGUGGUUCUGUAUGGAAGGGCCAUCGCUCAACGGAUAAAAGGUACUCCGGGAUAACAGGCUGAUACCGCCCAAGAGUUCAUAUCGACGGCGGUGUUUGGCACCUCGAUGUCGGCUCAUCACAUCCUGGGGCUGAAGCCGGUCCCAAGGGUAUGGCUGUUCGCCAUUUAAAGUGGUACGCGAGCUGGGUUUAGAACGUCGUGAGACAGUUCGGUCCCUAUCUGCCGUGGACGUUUGAGAUUUGAGAGGGGCUGCUCCUAGUACGAGAGGACCGGAGUGGACGAACCUCUGGUGUUCCGGUUGUCACGCCAGUGGCAUUGCCGGGUAGCUAUGUUCGGAAAAGAUAACCGCUGAAAGCAUCUAAGCGGGAAACUUGCCUCAAGAUGAGAUCUCACUGGGAACUUGAUUCCCCUGAAGGGCCGUCGAAGACUACGACGUUGAUAGGCUGGGUGUGUAAGCGUUGUGAGGCGUUGAGCUAACCAG
This 1355-nucleotide ribosomal RNA is filed under the name metagenome. RNAcentral's name for it is "bacterial LSU rRNA". It matches the Rfam family "Bacterial large subunit ribosomal RNA", at positions 1563 to 2898 of the family's 2925-position model. The record is from RNAcentral.